GGAUCAUGCAGAGGUUUUUUUUUCUGUCACAAGGCAUUGGCUGGGCCCUAGGGCUCUUGGAGUUCUCUGUGUUACAAGGAUGUUUUUUGGAGACCACAUUAUGGAACAUACAUAGCCCAGGGCAGUGUAGACAGGACUUCUGGGAGCUUUUAAAUGCCCUGGCCAACCUUACUGGAUGUGGGAAGGAAGACACUUGGGUGCAGAGAGGUGCUGAAGGCUCCUAGGAAGCAGAGCAGAAGAAUACCUUAUGCUGUGGGGACACAAUCGCUGGAAUCUCUGAAAAGUGUCACGCAGCUGCUUUGGGGAAAGUGGAGCUCCCACCUCAAGGCUGUGGCUGAUUUUGGGUGCUGGCAAGGGUCUGUGAAGUAUCUGGCUUGGAGAAGCUGACAGUGAAACACCUCCAGGAGAGGAUGUCAGAAGCAAGAGGGAGGCAGUGAGGAGGUGAUAAGGUAUAGCUGAGUUUGAUAAGAGCCCCUGACUCCUCCAGUAAUUGCAAGAAAGGAACACUUCAGCAGUGAAGUGCCAUACUCUGCUGAACAAACUUGGCAUCUCAUCAAGCUGACUUAUUUGCUUAUCCAGGAAGAAAGCUCCUAGCUAUAUCUAAGACUGCACCAUUGCCAGAAUUACCGUGGCCUCCAUAAGUCCCCAAGGUGUUCUCCUGAUGGAAAGGCAUCGUGUGUUAGGGCUGCUCCAGCCCACGGGCUGAGCCUCUUCUAAACGAUUCAAAAGCCACCAAAGCUCUGUCCUUGCUUUCACCUCUCGUGCCUCUGCACUCACUGCUGUCAUAGCCAGUGCUGAACGUGAGAUUGAACAGCCAGCAAACAACAAAAAACUUCCAUCAAACUUUUCAACUUACUUGACUGUGUCCUCACCACGCUCCACUCUCUGGAUGUGAUCCUCUCACAAUUCUCAGUGACUACACCAACCAUCUCCUCCACUGCAGGCUCCGACAGUGCCACAGCAAAAGGCUGCCUGCCUGCCUCCCUGCAUGCCAGCAACCAAAGACAUCUCACAACAGCUUUCUAGGCAUUUCUGAGAUCUACAGAAUGCACAAAGCAACCUGGAGCUGUUUCUCCCACUUGUGUGGAGCUCUGCUGGGUGUCCCAGUAUUACCCAAGGAAAGGGACAUGCUGUUGCCUGCUGCUAGAGCAGCUGCACUCGCUGUUUGGAAACAUCUACACAAUCAGCCUGCAGAGGAAUGGCCAGUUCCAUGUUCAUCUGGGUGAAAGUUCCAGAAGCCAUGAACUCCAACACCAGGGUAUAAACUGUGAGAAGCCCCACCCAUGCCUUAUUCAGCUGGGAAGCUGUGGGAUCAGAGGAGCUGUAGCUUGUAAAACAUGUGGUGAAGAGGUCAGCAAGGCCACCACCAGCUCCUAGCAAGUCCUAAACCCUUGUCCUAAAAGCUGCUGCCAGAGCCUUCCCAGGUGGAGGAGAGGUGACCAAACUGACGCUCAGGGCCACUACUGAAGGCUUCUUGUGGCCCAGAAUGGCACAGCCCCACUCUAGGAACUCAUAAAGUGGUAGUGCUGGGGAAGGGUUCUCUGGUCAGCUUCCCAGGAGACCCUGGAGUUCCCUGCUCAGCUGUGGGUCUGUGUGUGCAGGUGGUGGCCUCUGAAGUCCUCUGCACCACAGACACAUGAUGGGCACACAUCAUGGCUGGUCAAAAGCUACCUUUCUCAUGGUCACUGCCCAGGUAACAGCAGAGCCUGGGAAUGCCACUAAAUCUAUUUGGACUACAGCCUCCAGAUAGUUUGUCAGGCACCUUACAGUUGUCUCCACAAGGCUGGAGACCCUUCCACCAGAACACACAUUCUUAGGCCAGGCCUGCUCAGAGACAUGUAAUACCAAGAGCAGCUCUCUGCUCUUCCAGCUUUAAAGGGGAUCUGGAGUCUGCAAAGACUGCUAGUGCCAGCAGAAACUGCCCAUGAAUGAUCUGCAUUAUCAUUUCUCUGGUAAUGCUACAAAAAGUGUUUAAAAGCUCGAAAGCUAAUUAGAUAGAAGUUAAGUUAAACCACCAUGAUGUAAGCAACACGUCCAUCAGGAUUCUGUUCUUUUAGCGAUGCAGAGAAUGAAAAUCAACCCAGUUUCUGGCUUUGGGAAGGAGGAAAAAUAUUUGCCCAAUAAAUCUUAACCUGGUGGUAUAAAAGCCAAGUCUGAAAAUGGCCUGAGAAAUGUAGCUUAGGAAAUAGCAGCAAUAAAGAACCUGCAUGUGUGAUCACUCCAUGCUGAAAUGCUUUCAGAUGGGUAUCUCAUCAUCUCCCUUUCCAUCGUGCCUCUCUCUCAGUCCUGCCAGUGCCUCCCCUCUGGGUAACCAGCAACACUUGUCUUUGUCUGCAGCCAAAGCCAUUCCUGACUGAGGACUCCACAAGAUGUAGAUAAGGCUCCAUUACUUCUGGAUACUGGAUAAUCAGUUCAACUGCCUUAGCAUUAAUCAUGAUAAUAUUCAAAAUUCAUUAGGCUAGAUUGUUUGGAAAUCUAUUUCUUGUUAAUGUCAGAUUCGCUGAGCAUCAGCCUGGCAGCAUACAGACAGAAAACUGAUACAAGCCAGGGCAUGCCACCUCUCUAUGGAAGCAUUCCCUUUUUUCAUGUGUAGCUAGACCGUGAUGUGGCAGCUCCUGCCUGGUUUGUGUUGUGUGAAUCUUGUCAAGAGCAGUAGAACACCGUGAGUACACUAUGCUGCCAGUUUGUUGAUCAAGGGACAGCUACAAAAAUAUAUAGCUGCAUAUAUAAUAUACAGUUAAUAAUAUAUACAACAUAUACCAUGGAGAUUUUAAGGGGAAAAGCUAGACAGUCAGAUCUGCACCUACAAAUCGUAAUGGUUUUGUAUCUAAAACCUGGACAAGCAACCCAGAAACUUCUAUGUACAAGCAUGGUAUGGAGGAAUAAAAAUAGAAAGUCUU
Long non-coding RNA from Parus major (Great Tit), 2900 nucleotides. RefSeq lists it as uncharacterized. The record is from RefSeq and is a predicted model, not a curated record. NCBI's taxonomy places the organism in Eukaryota, Metazoa, Chordata, Aves, Passeriformes, Paridae. The transcript is spliced from 6 exons.